UACGUAGGGUGCGAGCGUUAAUCGGAAUUACUGGGCGUAAAGCGUGCGCAGGCGGCUUUGCAAGACAGAUGUGAAAUCCCCGGGCUCAACCUGGGAACUGCAUUUGUGACUGCAUCGCUGGAGUGCGGCAGAGGGGGAUGGAAUUCCGCGUGUAGCAGUGAAAUGCGUAGAUAUGCGGAGGAACACCGAUGGCGAAGGCAAUCCCCUGGGCCUGCACUGACGCUCAUGCACGAAAGCGUGGGGAGCAAACAGG
Molecule: ribosomal RNA, 253 nt
Filed under: uncultured bacterium
Lineage: Bacteria
Description: partial 16S ribosomal RNA
Rfam family: Bacterial small subunit ribosomal RNA
Source: RNAcentral